UGCAGAGGUCCCAAGCGUUGUUCGGAUUCACUGGGCGUAAAGGGUGCGUAGGCGGUCGGGUAAGUCUGAUGUGAAAUCUCCAAGCCUAACUUGGAAACUGCAUUGGAUACUAUCCGGCUAGAGGAAUGGAGGGGAGACUGGAAUACUUGGUGUAGCAGUGAAAUGCGUAGAUAUCAAGUGGAACACCAGUGGCGAAGGCGAGCCUCUGGACAUUUCCUGACGCUGAGGCACGAAAGCCAGGGGAGCAAACGGG
Molecule: ribosomal RNA, 253 nt
Filed under: uncultured bacterium
Lineage: Bacteria
Description: partial 16S ribosomal RNA
Rfam family: Bacterial small subunit ribosomal RNA
Source: RNAcentral